AUUGAACGCUGGCGGCAGGCCUAACACAUGCAAGUCGAGCGGCAGCGGAAAGUAGCUUGCUACUUUGCCGGCGAGCGGCGGACGGGUGAGUAAUGUCUGGGAAACUGCCUGAUGGAGGGGGAUAACUACUGGAAACGGUAGCUAAUACCGCAUAACGUCGCAAGACCAAAGAGGGGGACCUGCGGGCCUCUUGCCAUCCGAUGUGCCCAGAUGGGAUUAGCCAGUAGGUGGGGUAAUGGCUCACCUAGGCGACGAUCCCUAGCUGGUCUGAGAGGAUGACCAGCCACACUGGAACUGAGACACGGUCCAGACUCCUACGGGAGGCAGCAGUGGGGAAUAUUGCACAAUGGGCGCAAGCCUGAUGCAGCCAUGCCGCGUGUAUGAAGAAGGCCUUCGGGUUGUAAAGUACUUUCAGCGGGGAGGAAGGUGUUGAGGUUAAUAACCUCAGCAAUUGACGUUACCCGCAGAAGAAGCACCGGCUAACUCCGUGCCAGCCGCCGCGGUAA
RNAcentral lists this ribosomal RNA (506 nucleotides) under uncultured bacterium. RNAcentral's name for it is "partial 16S ribosomal RNA". It matches the Rfam family "Bacterial small subunit ribosomal RNA", at positions 30 to 523 of the family's 1533-position model. The record is from RNAcentral.